AGAACCUCAUAUUCCUCACGUCUCUUUUCUCUCUGCUUGCUCACUCUAUCUCACUCCUAUUUUCUUUUUCUCUCACCAAUUUUCAUGGGUCCUCCACAGAAGACAUCAUUCUCAAAAGUUGCUUCAUCUUCUACUGAUGAUUCUUGGUCCAAUAUUACUAAGAGUGUUGAUGAAAAAGGGAUCUACUUCAAUCGAGAAGAUGGUGUUGAUGAUGCAUAUGUUGCAAGGGUGAUUCAAUACUACCAAUGGGACCUAUUUUCUCAACCUACAGAAGUAUUUUAUCUAGAUUUGGAAGAAGAAAUUAUGAAAAAGAGGGAAAAAAGGCUAAAAGACAAAAUAAUGAAGCAAAGCCAUAGUUGCACACAUCAUCUUCAUAUUCGCAAAUGUGGAAUAUACAUAUGGGCUUAUGGAAAGAGAUAAUUAGAGAUGAAAAGGAGCAUAGAUGCAUGUGUGGAAUCUAUAUUUGCAAAGGUUGCAUUCGCACACAUGGAACCUACAUUUGCAAGUCUAACCCAUGAAGUCAAGAAUGGAAGCAAAAGAGCUAUAGAUGCAUAUGUGGAAUCUAUAUACGCAAAGGACACAUAUGCAUACAUGGAACCUACAUUUGCAAGUCUAACUCAUGAAGUCAAGAAUGGAAGUAAAAGAUCUAUAGAUGCAUAUGUGGAAUCUAUAUACGCAAAUAUCACAUUUGCAUACAUGGAACCUACAUUUGCAAGUCUAACUCAUGAAGUCAAGAAGGGAAGCAAAAGAGUCAUAGAUGCAUGUAUGGAAUCUAUAUUUGCAAAGAUCACAUUUGCAUACAUGGAACCUAUAUUUUCAAGUCUAACUCAUGAAGUCAAGAGUGAAGCCCAUAGUUGCAUAUAUGGAAUCUACGUACACAAAGGUCACUUCGCAUACAUGGAUUUCACAUUCGCAAAAGUGGAAAAUGACAAAACUACUCAUCUUUUCCUAUAAAUAGCAAGCUCUCUUUGUAUAAGAAGAUCCAAUCUUUUGCAAGACAAGAACUAGUCUUGGCCUUCUUUCUUUAUAGUAAAAAUAUGUUCUAGUCUUUUAAAUA
Molecule: long non-coding RNA, 1057 nt
Organism: Nicotiana tabacum (common tobacco)
Lineage: Eukaryota; Viridiplantae; Streptophyta; Magnoliopsida; Solanales; Solanaceae
Source: RefSeq, a predicted model, not a curated record